GGUUAAGCGACUAAGCGUACACGGUGGAUGCCCUGGCAGUCAGAGGCGAUGAAGGACGUGCUAAUCUGCGAAAAGCGACGGCGAGGUGAUAUGAACCUUUGACCCGUCGAUGUCCGAAUGGGGAAACCCAGUGCAAUUCGUUGCACUAUCGUUAACUGAAUACAUAGGUUAACGAGGCGAACCGGGGGAACUGAAACAUCUAAGUACCCCGAGGAAAAGAAAUCAACCGAGAUUCCCCCAGUAGCGGCGAGCGAACGGGGAGCAGCCCGGAGUCUGAAUCAGCUUGUGUGUUAGUGGAACGGUCUGGAAAGUCCGACGGUACAGGGUGAUAGUCCCGUACACGAAAAUGCACUUGCUGUGAACUCGAAGAGUAGGGCGGGACACGUGGUAUCCUGUCUGAAUAUGGGGGGACCAUCCUCCAAGGCUAAAUACUCCUGACUGACCGAUAGUGAACCAGUACCGUGAGGGAAAGGCGAAAAGAACCCCGGCGAGGGGAGUGAAAAAGAACCUGAAACCGUGUACGUACAAGCAGUGGGAGCCUCUUUAUGGGGUGACUGCGUACCUUUUGUAUAAUGGGUCAGCGACUUAUAUUCUGUAGCAAGGUUAACCGUAUAGGGGAGCCGAAGGGAAACCGAGUCUUAACUGGGCGUUAAGUUGCAGGGUAUAGACCCGAAACCCGGUGAUCUAGCCAUGGGCAGGUUGAAGGUUGGGUAACACUAACUGGAGGACCGAACCGACUAAUGUUGAAAAAUUAGCGGAUGACCUGUGGCUGGGGGUGAAAGGCCAAUCAAACCGGGAGAUAGCUGGUUCUCCCCGAAAGCUAUUUAGGUAGCGCCUCGUGAACUCAUCUUCGGGGGUAGAGCACUGUUUCGGCUAGGGGGCCAUCCCGGCUUACCAACCCGAUGCAAACUACGAAUACCGAAGAAUGUUAUCACGGGAGACACACGGCGGGUGCUAACGUCCGUCGUGAAGAGGGAAACAACCCAGACCGCCAGCUAAGGUCCCAAAGUCAUGGUUAAGUGGGAAACGAUGUGGGAAGGCACAGACAGCCAGGAUGUUGGCUUAGAAGCAGCCAUCAUUUAAAGAAAGCGUAAUAGCUCACUGGUCGAGUCGGCCUGCGCGGAAGAUGUAACGGGGCUAAACCAUGCACCGAAGCUGCGGCAGCGAC
RNAcentral lists this ribosomal RNA (1168 nucleotides) under Enterobacter hormaechei. RNAcentral describes it as "partial 23S ribosomal RNA". It matches the Rfam family "Bacterial large subunit ribosomal RNA", at positions 1 to 1212 of the family's 2925-position model. The record is from RNAcentral. Lineage: Bacteria; Pseudomonadati; Pseudomonadota; Gammaproteobacteria; Enterobacterales; Enterobacteriaceae.